RNAcentral lists this non-coding RNA (48 nucleotides) under Schistosoma mattheei. Lineage: Eukaryota; Metazoa; Platyhelminthes; Trematoda; Strigeidida; Schistosomatidae. The record is from RNAcentral.
AUCCAGCUGACGAGUCCCAAAUAGGAUGAAACGCGAGUCCUACUGGAU